AGAGUCCACAUCGACGGGGAGGUUUGGCACCUCGAUGUCGGCUCAUCACAUCCUGGGGCUGUAGUAGGUCCCAAGGGUUGGGCUGUUCGCCCAUUAAAGUGGUACGCGAGCUGGGUUCAGAACGUCGGGAGACAGUUCGGUCCCUAUCCGUCGCAGGCGUAGGAAAUUUGAGAAGACCUGUCCUUAGUACGAGAGGACCGGGAUGGACGUACCUCUGGUGUACCAGUUGU
Molecule: ribosomal RNA, 230 nt
Filed under: Clostridioides difficile
Lineage: Bacteria; Bacillati; Bacillota; Clostridia; Peptostreptococcales; Peptostreptococcaceae
Description: partial 23S ribosomal RNA
Rfam family: Bacterial large subunit ribosomal RNA
Source: RNAcentral